RNAcentral lists this unclassified non-coding RNA (289 nucleotides) under uncultured fungus. RNAcentral describes it as "sequence contains ITS1". The stretch from base 1 to 106 matches the Rfam family "5.8S ribosomal RNA", at positions 50 to 154 of the family's 154-position model. The record is from RNAcentral. Lineage: Eukaryota; Fungi.
AAAGUGCGAUACGCACUGUGAAUUGCAGAAUUCAGCGAAUCAGUAGAUUUCUCAACGCAAAUGGUGCUAAGUGACUUGCUCACCUAGCAGGCAUACAUCAGCGUUGCACUUAAUGCACUUACCCUGCAUUUCUGUUUGACGUCAAUUAUUGGCGUACUAGAUGUAAGCUUCGCUAAUGUUAACUGGCGAAUUUGUAGAUGCUCGACAAUAGCAACACACACACUGUUCUUGAUGUUUGAGCGUCAUACUUAACCAACCUGAGGUAUGUUAGACUACCCGCUGAACUUAA